This 650-nucleotide ribosomal RNA is filed under the name uncultured organism. RNAcentral's name for it is "bacterial SSU rRNA". It matches the Rfam family "Bacterial small subunit ribosomal RNA", at positions 547 to 1200 of the family's 1533-position model. The record is from RNAcentral.
GGAAUUAUUGGGCGUAAAGGGUACGUAGGCGGUCUAAUAAGUCAGAUGUGAAAACCUCGGGCUCAACCUGAGGCCUGCGUCUGAUACUGUUAGGCUAGAGUUAUGGAGAGGAAGGCGGAAUUCCUGGUGUAGGGGUGAAAUCUAUAGAUAUCAGGGAGAACAUCGGUAGCGAAGGCUGCCUUCUGGACAUAAACUGACGCUGAUGUACGAAAGUUAGGGUAGCAAACAGGAUUAGAGACCCUGGUAGUCCUAACUGUAAACGUUGUAUACUAGGUGGUGGCAUUUUGAUCGUGUCACUGCCGUAGCUAACGCAUUAAGUAUACCGCCUGGGGAGUAUGCCGGCAACGGUGAAACUCAAAGGAAUUGACGGGGGCCCGCACAAGCAGUGGAGCAUGUUGUUUAAUUCGAUGAUACGCGAGGAACCUUACCAGGUCUUGACAUAUACCUGAAUGUUGUAGAAAUACAUCAGCCUUCGGGCAGGUAUACAGGUGCUGCAUGGUUGUCGUCAGCUCGUGCCGUGAGGUGUUGGGUUAAGUCCCGCAACGAGCGCAACCCUUAUUCUUUGUUGCUAACAGUUCGGCUGAGCACUCUAAGGAGACUGCCGGUGACAAACCGGAGGAAGGUGGGGAUGACGUCAAAUCAUCACGGCC